Magallana angulata is the source of this 1531-nucleotide long non-coding RNA. RefSeq lists it as uncharacterized. The transcript is spliced from 2 exons. The record is from RefSeq and is a predicted model, not a curated record. Lineage: Eukaryota; Metazoa; Mollusca; Bivalvia; Ostreida; Ostreidae.
GCGUUGCUUUCGACAUUAGCGGAAAACCCACUCGUUGCUUUGCAACGAGCUUUGCUCUAGUUAUUAUUUUUUUUUUUCCCGCAAAUUUUGUGCACGAGAUUUCUCGAAUAUUUUUUGUCUGAUUGCUAUGAAACUUUCAGGGUAUGUAGAUGAUAUUAAUAUCUCUAGACGUUUUUUUCAAAUUUUUAAAAUUUACUUCCGGUUAUGAGUUAUUGCCCUUUAAUUGAAAAUUGGGGGGUCUUUUGUCCAGAGUUGAUCUCGGGAACUACAGAUGAUAGAUGCAUGAAAUUUGGCGAAAUUGUCGGUAACAUUUUAUAGUUUUGCUGGCAUGAAAAUUUUGGUAAUUUCUUUGUUAGUUUUUGAGCUAUUUGUCGCCAAAGUUUAAGAUUUUUCGGGGCUGAAAUUUUGUUGCUUUUUGUAUUAUAACCUUUAAACUAAAAAUAUUUUGUUAAUACAUAUAGAACAAAAGUUGUUUAGAAUAACGAGAGCUUUCAUUUAAAAUUAAGAAAAAAGGGCUGGCCCCUAUAAUUAGGGGUCAGCAGCUCAUACACGUAUUUUUCUGAUAGCAAAAAUCGUUAUCAUUUUAUGAAAAAAAAUUAAUUCAGUUAUUGUUAAUAUAUUAAAUAAUGUCAUUUGGUAUCAAAUUAAACAAGUUCUGUGCUAUAUUUUUUUUCAAAUUUCAUAAAACAAAUAUGUGAGAAUCGUACAUGAACGAGUUAAUAUGUCUACAUAGACACACAAGCAAACAAAUGCCACAUUAAGGCCCAGGCAUUUACUGCAUUACGUUGUGUUGCGUCUUAGAUAAAUUGUUGUGAUUCAAUUUCAUUUUUUUCAUCUAUAUCAUUUAUGAAUUCAAUGAACACACAUUAUUUAAACGUUCUAUGUGCAACUAUUUGUCGGGGCUCCCCUGUUUGUAACCCCCGCGCGCGCGCGCCGAAUGUAAACAGUAACGAACGGCAUUGUAGAAAAGAGAGAGCCGUAAUGCAGAAGAGAAGUUGUGUAUUCUUUCGGUGUACACAUGCAUUUUCAAUUUGCUGUGAAACAUAUGAACAUGCACAGGGAACAAUAUUACAUAUUUGUUUAAGGAGGAUAUUUUUCUCGUGUGAAUCGUUUACCGAGGAAAUUCUGACAGCCACACUUCUGUCGACGAUCAGCCGUUGAUAAGCUACGAGUGAUAAAGGAGAAAAGAUGGACAUUAAAGUGUGUGAUUUAUGUGGAUGUUACUGAAGAAGCUCAAAACAGACUCUUGUUACCACAUGGCUUUUACCGGUACCUGUUGAUUCUUGUGGGUCAGCUCCUGAGAUUAACCUGUCACCUCUAUCCACAUGCAUAUUCCUUGUGUUCUACAGACUAUUUACCGGUAAUUCAAAUUAAAUCCGAUAAUGCAUGACCAAUAAUGGAACUUGAAGAAAGCAUCAUGCCAUGUUGUGGUUUGUGUUUGAUAAGAAAUUAUGAAAACAAAAUUAAGGCUGUUUAAAGAAAUUCAUAAUUGCUGUGAAAAUUUGUUUUUCAAUAAAAGUAUACAAUUAUG